GUGUCAGCAGCCGCGGUAAGACAGAGGAUGCGAACGUUGCUCGGAUUUACUGGGCGUAAAGCGCGUGUAGGCGGUCUCGUUAGUCGGGUGCGAAAGCCCCGGGCUCAACCCGGGAAGUGCACCCGAUACUGCGAGACUGGGGUACUGAAGAGGAGAGCGGAAUUCCCGGUGUAGAGGUGAAAUUCGUAGAUAUCGGGAGGAACACCAGUGGCGAAGGCGGCUCUCUGGGCAGAUACCGACGCUGAGACGCGAAAGCGUGGGGAGCAAACAGGAUUAGAUACCCUGGUAGUCACGCUGUAAACGAUGACGACUGGGUGUUGCAGGUAUUGACCCCUGCGGUGCCGAAGCCAACGCGUUAAGUCGUCCGCCUGGGAAGUACGGCCGCAAGGCUAAA
Molecule: ribosomal RNA, 394 nt
Filed under: uncultured bacterium
Lineage: Bacteria
Description: bacterial SSU rRNA
Rfam family: Bacterial small subunit ribosomal RNA
Source: RNAcentral